GGAGUAUGGGCCGUGUCUCAGUCCCAUUGUGGCUGAUCAUCCUCUCAAACCAGCUACUGAUCAUCGCCUUGGUAGUCCAUUACACCACCAACCAGCUAAUCAGGCACAGGCUCAUCUUAGGGCACCGGAGUUUUCAAGAUAACUAUUUCAAGUUAGCUCAUAUGGGGUAUUAGCAGGAGUUUCCCUCUGUUGUCCCCCACCCUAAGGCAGAUUUCCUAUGUUGUACUCACCCGUCCGCCACUUAUGUAUCUCCGAAGAGACCUUAUCGUUCGACUUGCAUGUAUGAGGCACACCGCCAGCGUUGUCCUGAGCCACUGAUCAAACUACU
Molecule: ribosomal RNA, 328 nt
Filed under: uncultured cyanobacterium
Lineage: Bacteria; Bacillati; Cyanobacteriota
Description: partial 16S ribosomal RNA
Source: RNAcentral